Molecule: ribosomal RNA, 112 nt
Filed under: Caerostris darwini
Lineage: Eukaryota; Metazoa; Arthropoda; Arachnida; Araneae; Araneidae
Source: RNAcentral
AACGGCCAUACAAUGCUGAAUAUACCGGUUCUCGUUAGAUCACCGAAGUCAAGCAUCAUUGGGCGCGGUCAGUACUUGGGUGGGUGACCACCUGGGAACACCGCGUGCCGUU